Molecule: non-coding RNA, 30 nt
Filed under: Rattus norvegicus (Norway rat)
Lineage: Eukaryota; Metazoa; Chordata; Mammalia; Rodentia; Muridae
Source: RNAcentral
UGGACUUUUGGAAAGUUCAUAUCUGUGUGA